RNAcentral lists this non-coding RNA (175 nucleotides) under chicken gut metagenome. The record is from RNAcentral.
UCUAAAGGAAGCCGGAUGUGGGGAACCUACUAACCCACGGGCAAACCUCUGGUCUGACGGACAGAAAUCGCAUAUAAGGCUGAACAUGAGGGUAAGUCUGCAAUCCAAGGUAAAGCCCGAUAACUACACGGAAUCAUGUGCAGUAGAUGCGGCAGAUAGAUGGAGGGAAAGAAAC